ACGAACGCUGGCGGCGUGCUUAACACAUGCCAGUCGAACGAAGCUUGAUUACGGAUUCUUCGGAUGAAGUAUGAUAUGACUGAGUGGCGGACGGGUGAGUAACGCGUGAGUAACCUGCCCUUCAGAGGGGGGUAGCGUUUGGAAACGAACGGUAAUACCGCAUAAUGUAUUUUGACCGCAUGAUCGAAAUACCAAAGAUUUAUCGCUGAAGGAUGGACUCGCGUCUGAUUAGGUAGUUGGUGGGGUAACGGCCUACCAAGCCGACGAUCAGUAGCCGGACUGAGAGGUUGAUCGGCCACAUUGGGACUGAGACACGGCCCAGACUCCUACGGGAGGCAGCAGUGGGGAAUAUUGCACAAUGGGCGCAAGCCUGAUGCAGCAACGCCGCGUGAAGGAAGACGGUUUUCGGAUUGUAAACUUCUGUUCUUAGUGAAGAAUAAUGACGGUAGCUAAGGAGCAAGCCACGGCUAACUACGUG
This 478-nucleotide ribosomal RNA is filed under the name uncultured bacterium. RNAcentral describes it as "partial 16S ribosomal RNA". It matches the Rfam family "Bacterial small subunit ribosomal RNA", at positions 29 to 507 of the family's 1533-position model. The record is from RNAcentral.